This 233-nucleotide unclassified non-coding RNA is filed under the name fungal sp. Its description in RNAcentral is "partial internal transcribed spacer region". The stretch from base 1 to 46 matches the Rfam family "Eukaryotic small subunit ribosomal RNA", at positions 1786 to 1831 of the family's 1831-position model. The record is from RNAcentral. Lineage: Eukaryota; Fungi.
AAGUCGUAACAAGGUUUCCGUAGGUGAACCUGCGGAAGGAUCAUUAACACUUUUUCAUUUUAUUGAAAAUUCAUUUUUCAAUAAUUUACUUACCCACAUUUUUGGAUGAAUUAUCUCUUUUUAUUCUUUUUUAAAUUUUAAACCCAAAUACCAUAUUAUUUCUAACAUUUAUACACAAAAAGUUUAAGAAAAAACAUAAAAAACAACUCUUAACAACGGAUAUCUAGGCUCUC